Molecule: ribosomal RNA, 693 nt
Filed under: uncultured Glomeromycotina
Lineage: Eukaryota; Fungi; Glomeromycota
Description: SSU rRNA
Rfam family: Eukaryotic small subunit ribosomal RNA
Source: RNAcentral
GGGGUGUUAGGGCACGACACCGGAGAGGGAGCCUGAGAAACGGCUACCACAUCCAAGGAUGGCAGCAGGCGCGCAAAUUACCCAAUCCCGACACGGGGAGGUAGUGACAAUAAAUAACAAUACGGGGUUCUUUAGGAUCUCGUAAUUGGAAUGAGUACAAUUUAAAUCUCUUAACGAGGAACAAUUGGAGGGCAAGUCUGGUGCCAGCAGCCGCGGUAAUUCCAGCUCCAAUAGCGUAUAUUAAAGUUGUUGCAGUUAAAAAGCUCGUAGUUGAAUUUCGGGGUCAGUAGGUUGGUCAUGCCACUGGUAUGUACUGGUCUCACUGAUUCCUCCUUCCUGAUGAGCCGUAAUGCCAUUAAUUUGGUGUUGCGAGGAAUCUGGACUGUUACUUUGAAAAAAUUAGAGUGUUUAAAGCAGGCUAACGCUUGAAUACAUUAGCAUGGAAUAAUGAAAUAGGACGUUCGAUCUUAUUUUGUUGGUUUCUAAGAUUGACGUAAUGAUUAAUAGGGAUAGUUGGGGGCAUUAGUACUCAAUUGUCAGAGGUGAAAUUCUUGGAUUUAUUGAAGACUAACUACUGCGAAAGCAUUUGCCAAGGAUGUUUUCAUUAGUCAAGAACGAAAGUUAGGGGAUCGAAGACGAUCAGAUACCGUCGUAGUCUUAACCAUAAACUAUGCCGACUAGGGAUCGGAUGAU